UACGUAGGGUGCUAGCGUUGUUCGGAAUCAUUGGGCGUAAAGCGCGUGUAGGUGGCUGUGUAAGUCGGAUGUGAAAUCCCUGGGCUCAACCGAGGAAGUGCAUCCGAAACUACAUAGCUCGAGGACGGUAGAGGAAGGUGGAAUUCCAAGUGUAGAGGUGAAAUUCGUAGAUAUUUGGAGGAAUACCGGCGGCGAAGGCGGCCUUCUGGGCCGUUCCUGACACUGAGACGCGAAAGCGUGGGGAGCAAACAGG
This 253-nucleotide ribosomal RNA is filed under the name uncultured bacterium. RNAcentral's name for it is "partial 16S ribosomal RNA". It matches the Rfam family "Bacterial small subunit ribosomal RNA", at positions 524 to 776 of the family's 1533-position model. The record is from RNAcentral.